RNAcentral lists this ribosomal RNA (511 nucleotides) under uncultured bacterium. RNAcentral describes it as "bacterial SSU rRNA". It matches the Rfam family "Bacterial small subunit ribosomal RNA", at positions 34 to 518 of the family's 1533-position model. The record is from RNAcentral.
CGCUGGCGGCGUGCCUAAUACAUGCAAGUCGAACGGUCUUUCUAUGGAAGCUUGCUCCACUGAGAAGAUAGUGGCGAACGGGUGAGUAACACGUGGGUAACCUGCCCAUAAGAGGGGGGAGUAACAUCCGGAAACGGGUGCUAAUACCGCAUAGUUUCUUGAUCGCAUGAUUGAGAAAGGAAAGACGGCCUUUGUGCUGUCGCUUAUGGAUGGACCCGCGGCGUAUUAGUUAGUUGGUGAGGUAACGGCUCACCAAGACGAUGAUACGUAGCCGACCUGAGAGGGUGAUCGGCCACAUUGGGACUGAGACACGGCCCAAACUCCUACGGGAGGCAGCAGUAGGGAAUCUUCCGCAAUGGACGAAAGUCUGACGGAGCAACGCCGCGUGAGUGAAAGAAGGUUUUCGGAUCGUAAAACUCUGUUGUCAGAGAAGAACAAGUUGGAGAGUAACUGCUCCAGCCUUGACGGUAUCUGACCGGAAAGCCACGGCUAACUACGUGCCAGCCGCCGC